RNAcentral lists this ribosomal RNA (522 nucleotides) under uncultured Paraglomus. Its description in RNAcentral is "SSU rRNA". It matches the Rfam family "Eukaryotic small subunit ribosomal RNA", at positions 569 to 1094 of the family's 1831-position model. The record is from RNAcentral. Lineage: Eukaryota; Fungi; Glomeromycota; Glomeromycetes; Paraglomerales; Paraglomeraceae.
AGCAGCCGCGGUAAUUCCAGCUCCAAUAGCGUAUAUUAAAGUUGUUGCAGUUAAAAAGCUCGUAGUUGAAUUUCAGGCCUGGCUGGACGGUCCGCCCUUCGGGUGAGUACUGUCUGUGGUUGGGUCCUACCUUCUGGCGAAGCGUCAUGGCCUUAACCGGCCGUGGCGGGGAACCAGGACUUUUACUGUGAAAAAAUUAGGGUGUUCAAAGCAGGCAAUCGCUUGGAUACAUUAGCAUGGAAUAAUGGAAUAGGACAAUGGUUCUAUUUGUUGGUUUCUAGGACCGUUGUAAUGAUUAAUAGGGAUAGUUGGGGGCAUUAGUAUUCAAUUGUCAGAGGUGAAAUUCUUGGAUUUAUUGAAGACUAACUACUGCGAAAGCAUUUGCCAAGGAUGUUUUCAUUAAUCUAAGAACGAAAGUUAGGGGAUCGAAGACGAUCAGAUACCGUCGUAGUCUUAACCGUAAACUAUGCCGACUAGGAAUCGGGCGAUGUUGACAAAAUGACGCGCUCGGCACCUCAUGGG